GGCGCGGUAGUCGGGGGGGGGGGGGGGGGGGCCGGAAGCACUGGGCGGAAAGGGCGCGGGGGCGGCCUGGUAAGGUUGUGGUGAAAGGCCGGGGCUCAACCGCGGUGCUGCCGUGGGAACUGCUGGGCUGGAGCACAGUAGAGGCGGGUGGAAUUCCGGGUGUAGCGGUGGAAUGCGUAGAGAUCCGGAAGAACACCGGUGGCGAAGGCGGCCCGCUGGGCUGUGACUCUUCGGAGUCUUCAAGCUGACGCUGAGGCGCGACAGCGUGGGGAGCAAACAGGAUUAGAUACCCCAGUAGUC
Molecule: ribosomal RNA, 300 nt
Filed under: uncultured Thermoplasma sp.
Lineage: Archaea; Methanobacteriati; Thermoplasmatota; Thermoplasmata; Thermoplasmatales; Thermoplasmataceae
Description: partial 16S ribosomal RNA
Rfam family: Bacterial small subunit ribosomal RNA (bases 34-300)
Source: RNAcentral